AUACCUGAUAGUAUGGUGAGAUUGCAUGAUAGCACCAUUAAAGAUUUAUUGGUAAACGAUGGGGAUGCGUUCCAUUAGGUAGUAGGCGGGGUAACGGCCCACCUAGCCGGGGGGGGAUAGGGGUUCUGAGAGGAAGGUCCCCCACAUUGGAACUGAGACACGGUCCAAACUCCUACGGGAGGCAGCAGUGAGGAAUAUUGGUCAAUGGGCGAGAGCCUGAACCAGCCAAGUAGCGUGAAGGAUGAAGGUCCUACGGAUUGUAAACUUCUUUUAUACGGGAAUAAAGUAUCCUACGUGUAGGAUUUUGUAUGUACCGUAUGAAUAAGCAUCGGCUAACUCCGUGCCAGCAGCCGCGGUAAUACGGAGGAUGCGAGCGUUAUCCGGAUUUAUUGGGUUUAAAGGGAGCGCAGACGGGAGAUUAAGUCAGUUGUGAAAGUUUGCGGCUCAACCGUAAAAUUGCAGUUGAUACUGGUUUCCUUGAGUGCAGUUGAGGCAGGCGGAAUUCGUGGUGUAGCGGUGAAAUGCUUAGAUAUCACGAAGAACCCCGAUUGCGAAGGCAGCUUGCUAAACUGUAACUGACGUUCAUGCUCGAAAGUGUGGGUAUCAAACAGGAUUAGAUACCCU
RNAcentral lists this ribosomal RNA (624 nucleotides) under uncultured bacterium. RNAcentral describes it as "bacterial SSU rRNA". It matches the Rfam family "Bacterial small subunit ribosomal RNA", at positions 166 to 788 of the family's 1533-position model. The record is from RNAcentral.